Long non-coding RNA from Panicum virgatum (switchgrass), 1479 nucleotides. RefSeq lists it as uncharacterized. The record is from RefSeq and is a predicted model, not a curated record. NCBI's taxonomy places the organism in Eukaryota, Viridiplantae, Streptophyta, Magnoliopsida, Poales, Poaceae. The transcript has 6 exons.
GGCUAUUCCUCGCGCGCGCGAGUGCAGUCCGACCUAUCGUAGAAGGGGUUCCGUCGCGCGCGCACGUUCCGUUGACCGCCCUCGUUUCUUCUUUCUGCGUUUCACCAGGCCCAUUAAGUUAUUUCGGCCCAUAUAAACCAGCGUCUUUUCUUCUGCUUCAUUUCCCGAUCAGCUGCUUAGGGUUUCGAUUCGCUUCGGCGGCGGCUGCGCUUUCGAUUCGCUGGCGUACUUGAUGCUGUUAGGCGAUUCCAUUUCUGCGCAGUCCAAGCUAUGGUUACGAACAUGGAUCGUUUGAAGGUUCGCUUUUCCAGCAAGUGUUUUAAAAAAGUAGCUGAUUCUCUCUCUGAAGAUCAAAAAGGCUUUGUUGUUAAGCAUGGCUUUCAGAAUCUUUUGGGUGUUCAGAAGUUCAGUGUACCUAUCCCUUUACUGGAAUGGGUGAUGGGUCAGGUUGUUGUAGAUCUUUGUGAGUUUAAGCAUAGAACCAAGUCUUUCAAGCUCUCCAGAUACAUGGUUCAGCAAAUUCUUGGAAUUCCAUCCGGAGAUAUUCCAAUUGAUCUUCAUAAUCCAGUCCCCAAGAUCUGUGACCAAGCUACUCAGCAUAAUUCUCUCUUUAUGCAUGGUUCUAAACUUCCAAUUCCUGAAGCUAUUGAUAGACUUCUUGCUGACCAUGAUGAGGAAUCUUUUAUGAGGAUGUUCAUGUUUGUUGCUCUUUCUACUGUUAUUUGCCCUUCCACUUAGAAUUUUAUUAACCUCAAUUAUUGGCGUGCAACCUGAAAAAGAUUGUCUGGUUCAUAUUCCUUGUUUUAUUGACAAACAAUGGGUCAUAAUUGUUGUCAACUUUAACAAAAGAAGGUUUGAUAUAUUAUCUCCAGAAUAUGGUGCAGAUAAAACAAUGAAAGUGAUUAAUUCUGUGGUAUACAACUUUAGACUUUUCUUUAUAUUGGGCUUUCCAUCUUUCCAAAUUUUCAACAUCCGUGACUUCACUGUAUGCUAUAUUUACGUUCCAAAACAACAAUCCAUAUCGGACUCUGGCAUAUUUGUUACUUGUUUCAUGGAAUCUUUUGAUGGAACGAACAUCACCUGGUUCACAAAGUCUGACAUCCAAGCCAUACGAGAGAAGAAACUAUUUCAGUUAAUAUUCAGUAAGGAAAACAAAGCAAGGGCUCAAGUAGUUUCAAACUUCAAGAAACAAUAUAAUGUAGGAGAGUAUUAGUAAGAGGCCAUUUUGUGGAAGACUGAACAACUGUUCCAUCAAUGCAGCUGUUAUGUUUCAAACUUUCUAGCCAGUACAAAUAUAGUGUAGCUUAUUAUCAACAUGGAAUCUAUCUUUUUAGAUUUUCAGACAUUUUUUAUUUGUAAAUUUUUCUACCUUUAGUUUGUACAAGUUGAAUUUACUUGUUUCAUUCUACAGUUGGUUGAGAACACUCUGAAUUGUAUGGCGUUUUGAAAUGCUUUUUGAUAGAACAAAAUGUUCCAACA